GUAGGGUCCGAGCGUUGUCCGGAAUUAUUGGGCGUAAAGAGCUCGUAGGCGGUUUGUCGCGUCUGCUGUGAAAUCCCGAGGCUCAACCUCGGGCCUGCAGUGGGUACGGGCAGACUUGAGUGGUGUAGGGGAGACUGGAAUUCCUGGUGUAGCGGUGGAAUGCGCAGAUAUCAGGAGGAACACCGAUGGCGAAGGCAGGUCUCUGGGCACUUACUGACGCUGAGGAGCGAAAGCGUGGGGAGCGAACAGGAUUAGAUACCCUGGUAGUCCACGCCGUAAACGUUGGGCGCUAGAUGUGGGGACCUUUCCACGGUUUCCGUGUCGUAGCUAACGCAUUAAGCGCCCCGCCUGGGGAGUACGGCCGCAAGGCUAAA
Molecule: ribosomal RNA, 374 nt
Filed under: uncultured bacterium
Lineage: Bacteria
Description: bacterial SSU rRNA
Rfam family: Bacterial small subunit ribosomal RNA
Source: RNAcentral